GACGUACGCUGGCGGCGUGCUUAACACAUGCAAGUCGAACGAAGAGCGAUGGAAGCUUGCUUCUAUCAAUCUUAGUGGCGAACGGGUGAGUAACGCGUAAUCAACCUGCCCUUCAGAGGGGGACAACAGUUGGAAACGACUGCUAAUACCGCAUACGAUCUAACCUCGGCAUCGAGGAAAGAUGAAAGGUGGCCUCUAUGUAUAAGCUAUCACUGAAGGAGGGGAUUGCGUCUGAUUAGCUAGUUGGAGGGGUAACGGCCCACCAAGGCGAUGAUCAGUAGCCGGUCUGAGAGGAUGAACGGCCACAUUGGGACUGAGACACGGCCCAGACUCCUACGGGAGGCAGCAGUGGGGGAAUCUUCCGCAAUGGACGAAAAGUCUGACGGAGCAAACGCCGCGUGAGUGAUGACGGCCUUCGGGUUGUAAAAGCUUCUGGUAAUUC
RNAcentral lists this ribosomal RNA (442 nucleotides) under Veillonella parvula. Its description in RNAcentral is "bacterial SSU rRNA". It matches the Rfam family "Bacterial small subunit ribosomal RNA", at positions 28 to 443 of the family's 1533-position model. Lineage: Bacteria; Bacillati; Bacillota; Negativicutes; Veillonellales; Veillonellaceae. The record is from RNAcentral.